GAAGAGAAAAUAGUAACAUAAAAGAUAUAAAAGAAAGAACAUAAGAGAGGACUUAUUAUAGUAAAAUAGGCGAGUCCUACAUGGAAAAGAAGAUGAGAAAAAUGUGUGAUACUACUCUGAGAGAUUUAAGAAGGUUGAAAUUGAAAUCCUAAGUAUGAGUAAGAGAAAAUCGUUAGUAAUUGUAUGGUUAAGGCAUACUAGGUUUGAG
Molecule: long non-coding RNA, 208 nt
Filed under: Lathyrus oleraceus (garden pea)
Lineage: Eukaryota; Viridiplantae; Streptophyta; Magnoliopsida; Fabales; Fabaceae
Description: Pisum sativum (pea) long non-coding RNA (PSAT_LNC003451)
Source: RNAcentral